AGGAAAUAGAGGAUGAUGACAAUGGAUAAAAUCCCAUUUGGUUUCUACAGCUAAUAAUCUUGUUCAGAGUACAAGAUUAUUUGAACACUGUAAUACGAUUUCCACAUUAAAAGCACGUUCCAGUCCAUUCAAAAUUUUUCAGCGCAAUUGUAAAUUGGAUCUGACCAGUCUUAGCAACAGCAGUAGAAAUGGCAGCCUUGUUUAUGGAAUUCCUCUCUUAUUUGGAGUAUUUGAACUCUUUGAAUUCUUCUUAUUAUAUCUUCUUAUUUGAAUUCUUUUAAUGUGGAAUUCUAGGAGAUC
Molecule: long non-coding RNA, 300 nt
Filed under: Homo sapiens (human)
Lineage: Eukaryota; Metazoa; Chordata; Mammalia; Primates; Hominidae
Description: HSALNT0193748
Source: RNAcentral